This 468-nucleotide ribosomal RNA is filed under the name uncultured bacterium. RNAcentral's name for it is "partial 16S ribosomal RNA". It matches the Rfam family "Bacterial small subunit ribosomal RNA", at positions 28 to 507 of the family's 1533-position model. The record is from RNAcentral.
GACGAACGCUGGCGGCGUGCUUAACACAUGCAAGUCGAACGGAAAGGCCCUGCUUUUGUGGGGUGCUCGAGUGGCGAACGGGUGAGUAACACGUGGGUAACCUGCCCUUGACUUUGGGAUAACUUCAGGAAACUGGGGCUAAUACCGGAUAGGAGCUCCUGCUGCAUGGUGGGGGUUGGAAAGUUUCGGCGGUUGGGGAUGGACUCGCGGCUUAUCAGCUUGUUGGUGGGGUAGUGGCUUACCAAGGCUUUGACGGGUAGCCGGCCUGAGAGGGUGACCGGCCACAUUGGGACUGAGAUACGGCCCAGACUCCUACGGGAGGCAGCAGUGGGGAAUAUUGCACAAUGGGCGGAAGCCUGAUGCAGCAACGCCGCGUGCGGGAUGACGGCCUUCGGGUUGUAAACCGCUUUCGCCUGUGACGAAGCGUGAGUGACGGUAAUGGGUAAAGAAGCACCGGCUAACUACGUG